UUCGUCAUCUCAGAACAUGGUGUCUCUGGUCAUUUUCCGCGGACCGGACGAGCCCGCGUUGUAUGGCCGCGCUCUUCAGCAUGGCUCGUGCCGCGGACACCAUCAGGCCGCGCUGCAUGGCCGCGGUUUGUCCGUGCCAAAUGGCCUUCUCGGACCAGAAUCUGUGGGCCGCCUUUGUCCGCAAAGCACACCCGCGUUUCACCAGUUUCACUCCAUCUUGUCCACUUAUCUUGCUCAAACCUUCAUAACUUCAACUUGAGCUUCAC
This 266-nucleotide long non-coding RNA is filed under the name Brassica napus (rape). Its description in RNAcentral is "long non-coding RNA (BNAP_LNC012112)". Lineage: Eukaryota; Viridiplantae; Streptophyta; Magnoliopsida; Brassicales; Brassicaceae. The record is from RNAcentral.